Molecule: ribosomal RNA, 254 nt
Filed under: uncultured bacterium
Lineage: Bacteria
Description: partial 16S ribosomal RNA
Rfam family: Bacterial small subunit ribosomal RNA
Source: RNAcentral
UACGUAGGGUGCAAGCGUUGUCCGGAAUUAUUGGGCGUAAAGAGCUCGUAGGCGGUCUGUCGCGUCGGCUGUGAAAAACCCGAGGCUCAACCUCGGGCCUGCAGUCGAUACGGGCAGACUAGAGGUAUGCAGGGGAGAACGGAAUUCCUGGUGUAGCGGUGAAAUGCGCAGACAUCAGGAGGAACACCGGUGGCGAAGGCGGAUCUCUGGGCCGUAACUGACGCUGAGGAGCGAAAGCAUGGGGAGCGAACAGG